CCACCCCUCUCUCUGUCACUCUCCGACUUUGCUGGGAAAUCAAACUUCAGGGCUAAACCGUGUGUCUCAAUGUUUGGUCCAACACAUAUGUUCACAAUGGGGAAGCAGAGCGAACAGCCGGUGAGGCUUGAUUCGCAGUAAGAAGUCAGGACACUGUGUUUCCUUGUCCGGAGCAGCCCAUGUUGCACCUGAACGCUGCAACCCACCCACCGCCUGGCUCUUCAUCAGAAAUGAAAUCCUUUUGGAAUCACC
Mus caroli (Ryukyu mouse) is the source of this 252-nucleotide long non-coding RNA. RefSeq lists it as uncharacterized. The record is from RefSeq and is a predicted model, not a curated record. NCBI's taxonomy places the organism in Eukaryota, Metazoa, Chordata, Mammalia, Rodentia, Muridae.